UUUUCUUGUAUUCUGUAAUUUUUGGAUGGAAUGUCCUCUAUUAAGUCCAAAUGGUCUAAUAUGUCAUUUAGAUUGCUAUUGCCUAAUAAUUUUCAGUCUGGAUAAUCUGUACAUUGAUGUAAGUAGGCAUUAAAAUCCCCUACUAUUAUUUUAUUAUUGUCCGUUUCCCCCUUUAUGUCUGUUGAUAAUUGUUUUAUAUAUUUAGGUGCUCUUAUAUUAGGUGCAUCUAUGUUUACAGAUGUUAUAACCCUCUUCUUGUAUUGAUCCCUUUAUAAUUACAUAAUGCCCUUUUUGUCUUUUAUCAUAGACUUUGCUUUACAGUCUACUUUGUAAUAUGAGUAUUGUACACUAGCUUCUUAUCAUUUCCACUGCAAGGCAUAUCUUUUUCCAUUCUCUCACUUUCAGUCUAUGUAUGUCUUUAGUUCUGAAGUCUCUUGUAGGUAGCAUAUAGAUAGGUUUUAUAUUUUUAUCCAAUCAGCCAUCCUAGGUCUUUUGAUUGAAGUAUUUAAUUCAUUGACAUUUAAAGUGAUUAUUGAUAUAUAUGUAUUUAUUACCAUUUUGUUACUUAUUUUCUAGUUGUUUUGUAGUUCUUCUCUGUUUUCUUCUUUUAGUCUCUUCCCUUAUGGCUUUUUUAGUGUUAUAGUUAUGUUCCCUUCUCUCUGGUUUUUGUAUAUCUAUUGUAGGUUUUUGAUCUGUCGUUACCAUUGACUUCACAUGUUGACUUAAACUAUAUCUACUUGUUUUAAACUGAUGGUCAUUUAAUCUCAAACACAACCUAAAAGCUUUACAUUUUUUAAUGUCCCCAUGUUAUGCAUUUUUGAUGUCAUAAUUUACAACUUCAUGCCUAUCUCUUAAAUUUUAUUGUAGUUAUAGUUAAAUUUAUAAUUUUUAACUUUCAUACUAGCUUAUUGAAGUAGCUGAUCCACAUUAUAUAUUUGACCGUUACUAUAUAUUUGCCCUUACCAGUGGGAUUUUUUCCCUUCCUAUAAUUUCUUAUAUCUUGUAGCCUUUUCUUUUUCAUUUAAAGACUCUUUAACACAUUUGUAAGGUUGGUUUAAUAUUGAUUUAAUAUUAAUUUUUGUGGAGUUCCCGUCAUGGCGCAAGGUUAACGAAUCCAACUGGGAACCAUAGGUUGCGCGUUUGAUCCCUACCCUUGCUCAGGGUGUUAAGGAUCGGCGUUGCCGUGACCUGUGGUGUGGGUCGCAGACGCAGCUCGGAUCCCGAGUUGAUGUGGCUCUGGUGUAGGCUGUGGCUACAGCCCGAUUGGACCCCUAGCCUGAGAACCUCCCUAUGCCAUGGGAGUGGCCCAAGAAAUGGCAAAAAGAAAAAAGUAAUAACAAUUUUUGCUUGUCUGUGAAUCUAUUUAUCUCUCUUUUGAUUCUGAAUGAUAAUUAUACCAGGAGAAGUACCCCAGUUUGCAGGUUUUUUUCUUCUCAGCCUUUAAAUAUACUAUGCCAUUCCCUACUGGCCUGCAAAAUUUAUGCUGAAAAAUCAGUCUUAUGGGAUCCCCUGGUAUAUGACUUUUCUUUUUUCUCUUGUUGACUUUAGAAUUCUCUCUUUAUUUUUAACUUUUGCUGUUUUAGUUAUAAUAUGUCUCGAUGUAGUAUCUUUGGGUUCAUCUUGAUUGAAAUUCUUUGCUUCCUGUACCUGGACAGUUUUCAGGCAUAAUUUCACCAAAUACAUUUUUACCCCCUAAAUAGUAAUUUUAAUAGUCUUUUCCUUUUAGUACCCCUAUAAUGCAAACGUUAGUGUGCUUAAUGUUAUCUCAGAGGUCCCUUAAAUUAUCCUAAUUUUUUAAAAUGUGAUUUUCUCCUCCCUAUUCUGAUGUGGGGAUUUCCAUUAUUGUAUCUUCCAAAUCACUUAUGCAUUCUUCUAUAUCACCUCAUCUGCUAUUAAUUUCCUUUAUUAUUUUCUUUCAGUUAUUUUAUUCUUUAGCUGUAACUGAUUUUUUUUUGUAUAUUUUUGUUAAAUUUCACAUUGUGUCCACCUAUUCUUUUCCCCAGUUCAGUUAGCGUUCUUAUUACUAUUGCUUUGAACUAUAUAUCAAGUAAAUUACUUAUCUCUGAUUCAUGGAGGCUUUCCCUCUGGGUUUUUUCCUUGUUCUUCUAUUUGAAACAUAUUUGUCUGUCUUCUUAUUUUGUUUCAUUUUCUCUGUUUUUAUGAAAUUAAGUGAAACAGUUAACUAUACCAGUCUUGAAGGUUUGUCCUUGUUAGGGAGUGUCCAUAUGCAGUCUCUGUGUGCCUCUGGUGAGAGCUGGAUCUGAAGUGAGCAUGGGCUGUCUUCCCCCAGGGUGUGCUGGAAGUCACUGCCAUAUUAAGAGGCAAGGCAAAGGUUGAGGGGCUAGAGACAGAGUCAGUUGUAAGUCCAGGUUUCUCCUAAACUCAAUGGCCAUCACUGUCCUAUUGGGAGCUCAGGGGGAGCUCAAAGGGUGGAGCAGGGAGUUCAGAGGUAGCUGGAUUUCUUCAGGUGUGAAGGAAGUCUUUGCUUUGGUUUGUGGCAUGGUGAAGGCCUGAUGGCUUGGGCUGCAUUUCUCUGUUUCACUUUUUCCCUAUUGUGUAUGACUUAAUUAGAGGCUGGGUCAGGCUUGAGGGGUUGGUGUAACCCCACUGAGCUGGCCCCACCUCUUCUCAUUUUGCACAGGGAUGCUGGCUCUGGAAAGGCCAUCUACAUCCGGAAACUAGAUUUACUCCUAGAGAGUGUGUGCAGGGUCAUGUGAGCUGGCCAUGGCUACUUCCACCUUGUUCAGAGGUAAGGCUAGGGCCCAAGCUAGCUCCAUUCACUUUAAGUGUGCACAUUCUCAUUAGCAAUGACAGCCUCUGCCUUAGUGCAGAGUAGUAACACAGCAAGAGGGACUCAAGCAGGAACUAGUGCAGGCUGGGGGUUUGCACUGAGGCAGUCCUAGCAAGACAGCAGAGUCCUAAACAUUUUUCAAUAUGUUCCCUAUGCUCUGUGAGUGAGAGUAAGCAGAUUUGUAUGUGCACUUUUAAAGAGAAAGGUCUUUCUUUCUUACAACCCUUAGGCCCCACUAUUUUUCAAAUCAGCUAAAGGGGCUCAUCUUCCCAGAGUCAGACCCCAGGCUAGCGUGCCUAAACCCUUGCUCUCCCCUUGCUCUCUCUAGGAUCCUCUAGCUUUUGAUAUCCCUUUCCUCUUCUGUGUCCUCCUCUAGAGGUGUAAGUACAAACAAGAUUGCUUUUCCUCCCUUCCUACCAGUAUCCAUGUUGAUCUUUCUUUACAGCCUUGGAGGUAGAAGAGCUGUUCUACUAGUCCUCAAUCAAUUUCAGUGAGAGUCCUCUAUAUAUAGUCUCUCUAAAACUAGUUAUAGUUUUGAUUUUUUAGUGUAGGGAGGUAAGCCCAGUGUAAUCCUACUCUGCCAUCUUGAUCUCUCCUAAAUAUUAAUUCUUAAAUUAAUCAUUCUCACUAGUAAACACCUGCUUAAUUCAUUAUAUAUUAGAAUACUAUAAGUUUGAUUUAUCCUAUCACAUUGACAUUAACUCCAAAUUUAUCAAGUAUGGGAGAAUAAGACUGUCAAUAUGAAUUUGUACAUGAAUUUUUACUGCUUUCUACUAUGUCCCUGGCAUAUUUGCACAGAGCUGAUAAAAAACAUUUGAUAUUUUAUGUAAAAUUUUAGCAGUCUCAUGAGGUCCUGGGGACAGAAGAGUGACUUACAUUUAAUGAAUUUUAUAAUUGAGAAUGAAGUGAAGCAAACAGUCUCACACAUGGCUGGCAAAUACAUAAAUUCAUUUAACUUUUCUAAAAAGCAAUGUAAUAAUAUAUAUAAGGAUCCUUAGAGGUGUUUAAAUUUUGACUCACAAUUCUGUAAAAAAUAAAUAAGACUAAGGUAAAAACAGAAAAAAUAAUUAAGAUCCAUGUACAAAUAUGUUCAUCUUAAUAUAAUAUGUAAUACUUAAAGAUAUGAAUAUUAAAUAGUUGAAAAACAAGUAUUCAACUUGUUUGAUGAGCUAAAUAAAUUAUGAAGAGAAUAAAACAAUGCAAGGGACAAAGCUAGAGAAGGUUAAACACAAACUUAUGGUAUAUGUAUAUGGACAUGUAAGAAAAUAUUAUUGUAAUUUGUAAUGUUAAAAAAAUUUUUAAAUAAGACAACCAAAAAAAUCUUAAAGUGGAGAAUUAUACCAGAACAAAUAUUCUAGGAAAUUCUUUGUAGUAAAACUUGACAACUGUAAGCUUAUAAUAUAUUAUAAUUUCUUUUGCUUAUAGUGAAAUUACUGAUGUUGGUUUUGUUUCCUUAUUCUCAUCCAUUGUAGACUCAAUACCUUAAAUUUUUCUUCCUGUGAACUAUGGAAAACAGUAUGGAGACUCCUCAGAAAGCUAAAUAUAGAACUACUAAAUGAUCCAGUAAUCACACUCCUGUACAUAUAUCCAGACAAAACUACAAUUCAAAAACAUACAUGCACCCAUAUGUUCACAGGCACACUAUUCACAAUAGCCAAGACAUGGAAACAACCUAAAUGUAUAUCAACUGAUGAAUGUAUUAAGAAGAUGUGGUAUAUGUAUACAAUGGAAUACUACUUGGCCAUAGAAAGGAAAAAAAAAUGCCAUUUGCAGCAACAUGUAUGCAACUAGUGAUUAGCAUACUAAGUGAAGUAAGUCAGAAGUAGAAAGAAAAUACAAUAGAAUACAACUUAUAUGUGGAAUCUAAAAUGUGGCACAAAAGAACUAUCUACAAAACAGAAACAGACUCACAGACCUAGAAAAUAGACUGUAGUUGCCAAAGAAGAGGAGGAGGGAGUGGAAUGGACUGGGAAUUUGGGGUUAGUAGAGGCAAACUAUUUCCAUUUAGUAUGAAUAAGUAAUGAGGUCCUAAUGUAUAGCACAGGAAACUAUAUCAUGUCUCUUGGGAUAGACCAUAAUGAAGAUAAUAUGAGAAAAAGAAUGAAUAUAUGUAUGUCUGGGUCAUUUUGCUAUAUAGCAGAAAUUGGCAGAACAUUGUAAAUAAACUAUAAUUUAAAAAUUAAGUAGUGGUUUUGCCAUGGUGAAUAAAGAAAAUAAGAAGCUAGAUUUCCUAAGUUUCAUAGUCUAGUGUUUGAAAACUUCUGGUGUUUAACUGUGACAAAAAAAUAUAUAGUAUAUUUUUGCCAAAUAGACUGAUGUUUCUAUUUUAAUGAUGUUUAAUGUUCUGAAUUUUAAAAUGUCUUAUUAAGUUCUGUUAUUUAAUUUAAUUUGAAGUUCAGAAAGCUUACUAAAUACUGAACAGUUUUUUAUUUCUUAAACUGUUUGAGGGUAGGGCUGGCAGGGAAAGCUAUGAUUUUUUUUAUCAAGUAUAUAAAAUGUUAAAAGAACAGUGGAAAGGAAAUGCAAAAAGGAAACUAUACAGGAAGAUUUCAAUGAACUUUCAUACCUAUUUUGUGUUGCUGCCAUUAUUUUUAAAAAUACAUCUGGGAGUUCCCAUCGUGGCACAGUGGUUAACGAAUCCGACUAGGAACCAUGAGGUUGCGGGUUCGAUCCCUGGCCUUGCUCAGUGGGUUAACGAUCCGGCAUUGCCGUGAGCUGUUGUGUAGGUUGAGGAUGCGGCUCAGAUCCCAUGUUGCUGUGGCUCUGGUGUAGGCUGGUGGCUACAGCUCUGAUUGGACCCCUAGCCUGGGAACCUCCAUAUGCCAUGGGAGCGGCCCAAGAAAUGGCAAAAAGACAAACACACACACACACACACACACACACAUAUAUAUAUCUGAAAUCUGAUGUAUCUUUCAGUAUUUUUACUUCCACUACCGUAGUCCAAGCCAUCAACAAUUCCUGCCUAGACUAUCAUCAUAGUUAUUGUCUACUUAUGUUCACUGUGAAUCUUAUAAUCCUAAUAAAAUGGAAAUGACAUUAAAUUCAGAACAUAUCACUUACUGCUGAAAUGCAUCCAAUUACUUAAAAUUGCCUUAAAAUAAAAGCAAAAGAAGACCUACGCAGUCUUUGUUACCUGGCAUCUGACCGUAUCUCCAAAAUCAAUUACCACCAUUAACAUUUCACUCAACUUCAGCCAAACUGGCCACCAUGAGAUUCUUUAAACAUUUCCCUGCCUCAGGGCCUUUGGGAAUUCCUUCAAACUAGAAUGCUUUUCCUCUAAAUAUUUCCAUGGUUCACUGAAUUUCUCUUCCUUUGGUUUUUGGUAAACAUCAGGUAAACAUCAUCUUCUCAGAAAGAGAAGCCUCUAUCACCGAACCCUGCAUUCAUUUUCUUUACUGAAUACCUUAUAAACUGACUUUACCUUUUUUGAUUUUUAAUUUUUUUCACCCACUGGAACAGAGACUUGUCCAUUUCCGUUUGCCUGUUUUAAGACACUGUACCCAAAGUACCUAGAAUAGUGCCUUACACAUAAUGAGUUGCAUU
This 6334-nucleotide long non-coding RNA is filed under the name Sus scrofa (pig). RNAcentral describes it as "lncRNA (ENSSSCG00000047952.1)". The record is from RNAcentral. Lineage: Eukaryota; Metazoa; Chordata; Mammalia; Artiodactyla; Suidae.